GUUCUUGUAAAAUGUUAUAUUAAAAUAUCUGCCAAAUAUCUGUCCAUGGUUUAUUUCAGAAACUUCCCAGCCGCCUUUGGUUGUGGCGGGAAAAGGAAGCGUAAAACAGCUCACCAGCUCACCCCGCCACCAUUAUUUGUCAAAUAUGUGGAGCUGCAAUUUUGCCUCUUGGAAGGCAACAACAAACAUGCACCAAAGGAUGAAUUCGUCCUCCUACAGGCAGGUCUUGGCAGGAGGACAGUAAACAUCAGUGAAAAUGCCAACCAUGAAGAUAUAAACAGAGCUCUCCAGGAGGAAUACCCCAAAAUGAGGGGACUAAGUGGAGGGUGGCUUUUUAAAAAGUCUGCAGGGGUGGCCAAUGAGCUUUCAGGGCCCCAGGCCACCCCCUAGAAUCGCCACUGUCCAGGAGAGUCUGGAUCUGACACCAUUGCCCCAUGCUUCUGUGGAAUUCCUGAAGAUGCCAAAGCACCCCUGCAUGGCAUGUGGGAGUGAGAUUGCCCUUCCGCUCCUUUCACA
Molecule: long non-coding RNA, 516 nt
Filed under: Gadus morhua (Atlantic cod)
Lineage: Eukaryota; Metazoa; Chordata; Actinopteri; Gadiformes; Gadidae
Description: lncRNA (ENSGMOG00000023394.1)
Source: RNAcentral